AGAGCGAACGCUGGCGGCAGGCUUAACACAUGCAAGUCGAGCGGGCGUAGCAAUACGUCAGCGGCAGACGGGUGAGUAACGCGUGGGAACGUACCUUUUGGUUCGGAACAACACAGGGAAACUUGUGCUAAUACCGGAUAAGCCCUUACGGGGAAAGAUUUAUCGCCGAAAGAUCGGCCCGCGUCUGAUUAGCUAGUUGGUGAGGUAAUGGCUCACCAAGGCGACGAUCAGUAGCUGGUCUGAGAGGAUGAUCAGCCACAUUGGGACUGAGACACGGCCCAAACUCCUACGGGAGGCAGCAGUGGGGAAUAUUGGACAAUGGGCGCAAGCCUGAUCCAGCCAUGCCGCGUGAGUGAUGAAGGCCCGUAGGGUUGUAAAGCUCUUUUGUGCGGAAGAUAAUGACGGUACCGCAAGAAUAACGCCCGGACUAACUUCGUGCCAGCAGCCGC
This 449-nucleotide ribosomal RNA is filed under the name uncultured bacterium. RNAcentral describes it as "SSU rRNA". It matches the Rfam family "Bacterial small subunit ribosomal RNA", at positions 26 to 518 of the family's 1533-position model. The record is from RNAcentral.